RNAcentral lists this long non-coding RNA (212 nucleotides) under Drosophila guanche. The record is from RNAcentral. Lineage: Eukaryota; Metazoa; Arthropoda; Insecta; Diptera; Drosophilidae.
CUCUGCUCUGCUCUGCUGCUGGCCGCUCUCGGGCUUCUGGCUCACUUCGUCGUUCUCUUUGGCUCUGCUGCUGGCUCACGUCGUCGUUCUCUUUGGCUCUGCUGCUGUUGGCUCGCGUCGCCGUUCUCUUUGCUCUGCUCUGCUGUUGGCUACUGUGGGCCGCGAACUUAAAUUAUGACUUCAGAAUUUCACCUUAUAAUAUAACUUAGAAA